Molecule: ribosomal RNA, 253 nt
Filed under: uncultured bacterium
Lineage: Bacteria
Description: partial 16S ribosomal RNA
Rfam family: Bacterial small subunit ribosomal RNA
Source: RNAcentral
UACGUAGGGUGCAAGCGUUGUCCGGAAUUAUUGGGCGUAAAGAGCUCGUAGGCGGUUUGUCGCGUCGAAUGUGAAAAUCCAGGGCUCAACCCUGGACCUGCAUUCGAUACGGGCAGACUAGAGUUCGGCAGGGGAGACUGGAAUUCCUGGUGUAGCGGUGAAAUGCGCAGAUAUCAGGAGGAACACCGGUGGCGAAGGCGGCUCUCUGGGCCGAUACUGACGCUGAGGAGCGAAAGCGUGGGGAGCGAACAGG